GACGAACGCUGGCGGCGUGCCUAAUACAUGCAAGUAGGACGCACAGUCUAUACCGUAGCUUGCUACACCAUAGACUGUGAGUUGCGAACGGGUGAGUAACGCGUAGGUAACCUGCCUAUUAGAGGGGGAUAACUAUUGGAAACGAUAGCUAAUACCGCAUAACAGUAUGUAACACAUGUUAGAUGCUUGAAAGAUGCAAUUGCAUCGCUAGUAGAUGGACCUGCGUUGUAUUAGCUAGUAGGUAGGGUAAUGGCCUACCUAGGCGACGAUACAUAGCCGACCUGAGAGGGUGAUCGGCCACACUGGGACUGAGACACGGCCCAGACUCCUACGGGAGGCAGCAGUAGGGAAUCUUCGGCAAUGGGGGGAACCCUGACCGAGCAACGCCGCGUGAGUGAAGAAGGUUUUCGGAUCGUAAAGCUCUGUUGUUAAGGAAGAACGAGUGUGAGAAUGGAAAGUUCAUACUGUGACGGUACUUAACCAGAAAGGGACGGCUAACUACGUGCCAGCAGCCGCGGUAAUACGUAGGUCCCGAGCGUUGUCCGGAUUUAUUGGGCGUAAAGCGAGCGCAGGCGGUUAGAAAAGUCUGAAGUGAAAGGCAGUGGCUCAACCAUUGUAGGCUUUGGAAACUGUUUAACUUGAGUGCAGAAGGGGAGGGUGGAAUUCCAUGUGUAGCGGUGAAAUGCGUAGAUAUAUGGAGGAACACCGGUGGCGAAAGCGGCUCUCUGGUCUGUAACUGACGCUGAGGCUCGAAAGCGUGGGGAGCGAACAGG
This 773-nucleotide ribosomal RNA is filed under the name Streptococcus anginosus. RNAcentral's name for it is "bacterial SSU rRNA". It matches the Rfam family "Bacterial small subunit ribosomal RNA", at positions 28 to 776 of the family's 1533-position model. The record is from RNAcentral. Lineage: Bacteria; Bacillati; Bacillota; Bacilli; Lactobacillales; Streptococcaceae.